Molecule: small RNA, 106 nt
Filed under: Salmonella enterica
Lineage: Bacteria; Pseudomonadati; Pseudomonadota; Gammaproteobacteria; Enterobacterales; Enterobacteriaceae
Also listed under: 2 other names
Description: partial RtT sRNA
Rfam family: RtT RNA
About the family: This family represents a bacterial cis-regulatory element known as RtT RNA.
Source: RNAcentral
UGUAUCUGAAGUCUGACGAGGAUGAGAACCUCCGGGGGCAAGAGGUUCGACUCGAGCGAAGCGAGAGAACGUUGCGUCAGCAACGGCCCGCAGGGCGAGCCACGCA